RNAcentral lists this long non-coding RNA (20886 nucleotides) under Ananas comosus (pineapple). RNAcentral's name for it is "long non-coding RNA (ACOM_LNC006683)". Lineage: Eukaryota; Viridiplantae; Streptophyta; Magnoliopsida; Poales; Bromeliaceae. The record is from RNAcentral.
CACCCAUCCAACAGUUCUCACAUUAAUCAGACAGCAAAAGACCACGGAAAAAUUGUUGGCGCUCCUUAAAACUCGGUAAUUCGGGCACUCGAAAUCAUUAAAACACUUUUAUUUUCAUACUAUACAUACGUUAAACCACAUAUAGUAAUUAAAUUUCAAGCCCUUUAACAAUUAACUUCUUUUCUAGUCUUCAUUGCGAACUUCGAUUUGUAUAUUUUUAUCUCAAUAUCUAAUCCUGUACAAUUAAAUUCAUAAUCAUUCACCUCUGAACUAAUCAUAUAAGAUUCAAAUCCUUAACAGAGUUUCAUCUUGUGUGUAGUAAUUAGUAUAAUACAGUAUGCGGCCGGUGCAUUCCAACACUACACCAAGAAGCAUAUACAAAGAUACAUAAGUAUGAGAACUUUUUUAACAGCAAAUUUUCAGUAUCGUGUGAUAUUUUGUUGUUUACAGAUACCCAAAAAAAGGAUCCACAUUCCAAACAAUAUGAUAUAAAUAAUUUUUUUCUUCUACAAACAGUAGAAAAAUCCCAACACUACAAAAUUUCAGAGCAUCCAAACAGGCCCUUUUAAUACAUAGGGCACAGACAAUUCUCAAGUCAUAAUCCAAAUUCCCAAAUGCCUUCACCUGAUGGUUUGAUUUGUAACAACUUGAUAAAAUUGCGUAGAGCUAACCUAAACUUUGAACGGUUUGGAAAUAACUAUCUGAAUUGAAAAUUUUCCAUGCAUGAUCUGCUCAUCUGCCCUCCAUUGCAUUUAGCAAAUAAUCAUUUUUGAGAAAAUGACGGUAGGUUGCUCGCUUCGUUAAUUGAGGUCUUGUUUGGAUAUCUAAAUAACUUAUUUGGUACGAGAGUUUUUUAGUAUGGUCAUAAUUAAAAAAUUUGAUUUUUGUUUCUGCAAAAAUAUUUGCUAUCCAUAAUUUGGUAAUAUAGCAUUUUUCAUUUGCAAAAUAAUAUAUUUUAUUUUGAAAAAAAAAAUAAAAAGCCGAAUAUAAUAUUUCGAGUCCGACUAUGAUGCUUGUCAAAGCAAUAAGUACUUGAUGGUUGUAAAUUUUCCACCGUUAAAUCUAUCAUUUUGACCAAUUUCAUCUCUUAUAUUAUGUUAUUCUACCAACCAUUCUACUCAAUUUUUGGAGAUCACUAUGAUUCUAAUCAUACAAAUCUGCAUCCAAAGGUCAAAAACUUACAAGCAUCAAUCACUUAGGGGCUGUUUGGUUGCAUGUAGUUGUAACCGCACGACUGUUAUAACUAUAUGCAAAUACAAAUUCGGUGUUUGGUUUGAUAUAUUUAACUCCAAUUGCUGUAGUAAGAACUGCAGGAGGAGGUCCAAAUGCAGCUGUUGAAACUAUGCCCAAAUUGGCCGCAGUUCCAACUGCAACAGUUGGAGAGUGUAACUUUAAAUAAAAGAUUGACUGUUCCUAGAGCAAGUGGCAAAGCGCUUGAUGGUUGGUACUCGAGACCCAAGUUCGAAUCCUAGUUGAUUCACAUUUCUAGCUAAGUUUAUUUCUAAAUGAAAUAAACGAAGUGGGUAGCGUGCUACCUAUCUCUCAAAAAAAAAAAAAAAUUUAAUAAUAAGGUAACCUUACCUUUUAAAAUAUUUUUUAAGCAAAUAAUAAAAUUUUUUUUAAUUGGGGUCGUUUGUCUGCGCUGCUAUUUUUAAAUCCGACCUAGUAUCAAUGGAAUAAAAAUAUGACGGUGUUCGGUUAAGCGACUAAGGUAAUCUAGUUGGUAAUAUUAGGAUUCACUAUGGGAAUAAGAUUGCACACAAAGUACUAAUCCAUGUCCCUUGAGGGAGGUGGGUAUCUUAUAUUAAUGGAUUGUGAUGUAUCAUAAUUAUACUAACACUUUUCUUCUUCCUACAGCCGCUAAUUGAUAUUAUUCUUAUCUACUCUAAUCUUAUAUCUCUCUAAUUAUAUUUCUCUAAAGUUCAACGUUUUUUAGCUCCUCCUAAACUAAGCUUUCUCUCUCUCUCUUUCUAAAAUUUCAACUCUCUCACUCCUUCUAAUUUCGACUAUAUUUUUCUUCCUAUUUUUUUAAUUAUGCUCUCUCUCUCUAAUUUAUACUCUCUCUCCCUUUUUUCUAAAAAGAUGUUGAAACUUUUGAUAACAUUGUCUAAAAUUAAUUAAAUAAAUAAAUUAAUUAAUUGUAUAAUUUUUGUAAUAUUAAAUAACAUGGCUAAUUAAUAUUACUGUGUGAACCAAACACAGGAAUUCCACAUUCUUAGUAAUAGAAUGAAUAGUAAUAAGAUUCUCGGAUAUCUUUUAUUCCUAGUAAUCUUUUAUAAUGCGAACCAAACGCACCCUGAAGGUAAUCUUACCAUUAUAUAUAUUAAAUGAUAAAAUUUUAAAAAUUAUUUCUCAACUGCAUGCAACCAAAUAAAUUAUUUAUAGUUACAGCGCUUUCCACUACAUCCAACCAAACAUGAUGCAUGUAGUUGUAAUUGCUGGAUUUCCAACUGCAUGCAUCUUCAAUUACAUUUAAAAGUAUAAGAACUCAAUUCUAAUAUUUUAUUCUUAAUAACGGAUGAAAAUUCUGUGCCCAAUUACACGAAUGCAUCAAGCAUAGCUGGUGAACUUAAAAUGGAAAAAAGCAACCCAACACCCCAUUUAUGGGUGGAUGAUUUAUCCUCAUUCAUUUAAUAGGUAAUUUUUUUUUAUUUGUCACAACAGGUAAUAAGUAAAAAAAAUCUCACCGUUUAGAUGAGUAAGAUAUACGAUAUACAAUAUUUUUGGACAGUAUGAAUAGUAUUGCUCAAUAAAAAUCCGUUCGCUUUUAAAACCAGUUUAUUAUUAAAAAAAAUCUACAGAAUUGCAAAGAGUAACAUCUUUUAAGCAAAUUUGUGUUCCGACAUAAGCGCAAGCCGAGAAUCGCGAGAGCGUUGCUUUAAUUCCACAUUUUUAAUAUUUUCUGAAAAACUCGAGAUAUUUCCAAUAAAGCCUAAUAACAUGAUGCAUCAGAGAAGAACAACGAAUUAUUUCGAGCAAACCAUGACAAAUUCAACAUAUAACAACAGCGAGGUUAAUUAAUUAUGCGAAAAGAAUCACCAGAAGAUGUAAGAGCGAAUCCACGAGCUUACAAGCAAGUCGCAAAUCGAACACGAUUUAAUUCGGAAAAAAAAAGAAAAAAAAAAUACGAUUCGGAUUGGAUUGAGAGAUAGAUUGAUCGAAUUGAAAGGAAAAGAAGAAAAGAGUGAAAAAAGAAGGGGAGAAAUUGGUCACCUUCGCCCUCAUCGGUGCCUCUCUCAAAGCUUCUCGCUCCUAAUAGAGAGCGGGGGGCCCUCCGUACCUGUUUCUGUAUUUGUAGAUCCAGGGUUUGUUUUGACCAGAGGAAAGAUAAAAGAAGAUGGGCCUACAUGGGCCGCAUAAGGUACAAAUUACAAGUGGAAAACAAUCAUUAAUGGGCCACAAUCGGUUCAUCGUGUUGUCUAGAAUGAAUGUUGUACCGGCCUGGCCCGAUAUUUAUUGGGAUCAACCCGCCAACUCUCAAUGAUUAGACAAGACAAAUCCCCGAGACACUAGUACGAGAACACGGAAAUGACCCAAAAUUCUAUUUUUUUUUUUUUUUUUUUUUGUCUUUAUUUAGAAUAUCGUAAGGAAUUCAGCAUCCACCAUUCUCCUUCAAAGAUUAUAUAUUGACAUACCCAUUUAUUACACACAGUUUAAAAACUUGUACAGUAUCACAAUCGAUGGUAGAGCUGCGGGGAGACCAAAGCAGAGUAUGUAGCCAUAUAUUUAUGCUUUAAUAGGAAAAAAGAGGAGAGAAAAUAGUACAUACCAAAAGUAGCAAAAGCAAUACAUAUACUUCAAACAAGACAACUCCCCAAAUCUAGACACGCUCGAAGCCUCCUCACCCAUGCACAGCCAUGGGCAUGCGUUCACGCGCGAUUAACGUUUGCUUUCGAAUUGAGGACGACGUAAGCCUUCGCCGCCAGAGCUAACAGCGGGACCAAGAACACAACGGCCAUCGCCGCGCGCUUGGCGAAUGCCACGGCACCACCGCCUCCGGAGCCGCCUGCGCUGUCACCUUCACCGGCAUCGUCACUGCCAUUGCUGACAAUCGGCUGAGGGAGGCGGAGGAAGAGGAGGAGGAGGAGGAGGAUGGCGAGGAAGAGGAGAAUGGUGAGGAAGAGGACGGCGUAGGCGACAGAGAGGGCGCCGGGAAGGGAUUUUGCUAUGGGGUAGUAGGUGGUGCUUCCCACGAUCACCGUCUCCGUUAUCGCCCCCACCACGGCUUUAAUGGCGUUGGAGCUGUCGACGUUCAUUGUAACGGCGUUGGAGCUGUCGACGUUCAUUGUGACUAACCUUGCAACUAUAUGUGUAAGGGUGUGGAGGUAUUUAUAGUGUGAGAGAGGGGCCCACGAAGUGCGUUUGUAGCAAGGUCAAGCGAUGCGUUGGGAGGAGGAACGCGUAGGGAACAAAGUCUUUUGCUAAAUAAGUACUGUAGCAAUGGAAAGAACUUGAGGAAUGGACUUGAGGAAGAUUUGCUAACUUUUUUUUUUGCUAACUUUUUUUUGCUAACUUUUUUCGCUAACUUUUUUUUGCUAACUUUUUUUGCUAACUUUUUUUGCUAAACAGGUACUGGAGCAAUGGAAAGAACUUGAGGAAAGACUAAACAGGUACUGUAGCAAUGGAGAGAACUUGAGUUUUAACUUUGACUUCAAAGUCUUUUGCUAAAUAAGUACUGUAGCAAUGGAAAGAACUUGAGGAAUAUUUGCUAACUUUUUUUUUUGCUAACUUUUUUUGCUAACUUUUUUCGCUAACUUUUUUUUGCUAACUUUUUUUGCUAACUUUUUUUUGCUAAACAGGUACUGUAGCAAUGGAAAGAACUUGAGGAAAGACAAAACAGGUACUGUAGCAAUGGAAAGAACUUGAGUUUUAACUUUGACUUUUUUUGCUAAACGUGAGUUUUAACUUUUGCUAACUUUUUUUGCUAAACAAGUACUGUAGCAACGGGAUAUUAUUUAUAUUAUUUGUAUAUGUACAUUAACAUAUUUGGAAAGAACUUGAGGAGAGACUAAACAUGUACUGUAGCAAUGUACAUUAACAUAUUUGGAAAGAACUUGAGGAAAGACUAAACAGGUACUGUAGCAAUGGAAAGAACUUGAGUUUUAACUUUGACUUUUUUUGCUAAACCGUUACUGUAGCAAUGGAAAGAACUUGAAUUUUAACCAUAGUUAGUUAAUUCGCGAAUUAUUCGCGAAUAAUUCGUGAAUUUUUUAAAACCCGAAUAAAACGGCCGUUUUCGUAUUUUUCCCAAAAAUUCAAAAAAAUUCGCGUUUUUUUGGGUAAAAAUAAUUAUUCGUGAAUUAAACGGGAUUCGCGAAUAAUUCGGCCCAAAAAAACGGCCCGGUUGCUGGUUGCUACCAGCCUGCGCGCGGAGUCACGGACGCGGACUCACGGGCCUCGCGGUCGCGGGUGGCCCAACCGCCCAAAACAGGAGAAAAAAAAAAAAACUUCGAACCAAACGCCCUGCCCUGUCGCCCAAAAGGCCAAAAAAUAAUAAUAAUAGUAAGAUUGAAUUUUAUUAUAUUAUUUUUUGAUCAUAUAUAUAUAUAUAUAUAUAUAUAUAUAUAUAUAUAUAUAUAGAGUCCGGUUACUAUUUAUGCUGAUCGGUAGCACGGACGCUCGUGCUACCAAGUUGUUUUCGAUGAUGUGGCUUCCAAAUCGACGAUCGCUCCGUUAGACUUGAUCUACACUAUUGAAAGUAUUUGGAAACUAAAUUUCAGAUUUUUUCGACAUCAUUGAUACGUGAUCAAAAGAUCUCAAAAUUGACAAGUUUAAAUGGCCGGAUGUGGUGUGUUUGUGAGUUUAACGGUGUAAACAAUCCAAAUGCGAUGAAAAUUUUAUUAGAAAAUUCUUUUCAUUAUUAGAGUAAGAUCAGUAUAUCUGAUCUUGAAUUAAAUCUUUUAUCAUUAUUUUUCAUGAGAUUUUAUUUUCAGCGUUCAAUUUAGAAUACUUGUUUGAUAGGUAAAUGAUAUCAAAAAUUAUGAAAAUUAGUUUCUAAAUAUUUUAAUAUGUAGAUCAAGUCUAACAGAGCCGAUCGUCGAUUUGGAAGCCGCAUCAUCGAAAACAACUUGUAGCAUGGAGCGCUCCGUGCUACCGAUAGUAUAGUAGCCUAGUCUCUAUAUAUAGAGUCGGGUUACUAUGCUAUCGGUAGCACGGAGCGCUCCGUGCUACCAAGUUGUUUUCGAUGAUGUGGCUUCCAAAUCGACGAUCGGCUCCGUUAGACUUGAUCUACACUAUUGAAAGUAUUUGGAAACUAAAUUUCAGAUUUUUUCGACAUCAUUUGACUAGUGAUCAAAAGAUCUCAAAAUUGACAAGUUUAAUGGCCGAUGUGGUGUGUUUGUGAGUUUAACGGUGUAAAACAAUCCAAAUGCGAUGAAAAUUUUAUAGAAAAUUCUUUUCACUAUUUAGAGUAAGAUCAGUAUAUCUGAUCUUGAAUUUAAAUCUUUUAUCAUUAUUUUUCAUGAGAUUUUUAUUUAGAGCAGAGCUACUUAUAAGUUUGAACAAGUGUGAAUUGAAAUGACGCAUCAUAUAUAGUCACAAUAAAAUCGUACUUUUUAAAUUAAAUCAUAUUCUACAGCAGAACUAAACAUACUACAUAAGCCGGAUCAAACCUAAAGCCUCAAGUGCUCAAGCUCUUAUCAACAUUCUACAUUUCAGCGUCUCCAAAUUGUAAUGCUUCGGCCCUUUUAAUUUGUACUAUAUGGACAAAAAUAUUAGGUAAAAAUGUAUAUAAUUUAUGUAAUAUAAGUAUUAUUUCGAUUCGACUAUUCAACCUUUCAAAAUUUUAAUUAUUCUACAGUAAUCCUUCAAUUUAUUUGAUUUGAAUAAGUUAAUGGCACUUUGACUAUAAAAAUUGAAUAUAUUAUUUAUUAUUAUAAAUUUAGUUAGUAUAUUUUAUAUAUUUCUUACAACUAUAAAUUUAUUAAAAUAAUUAGAUUCAAAUUUAAAAUUAAAGUGACGCUGACUAACUCAAAUCAAAUAAAUUAAAAAAAUUAGACUGUAAAAUUAUAGUUUUAAAAAAUUAAAUAGUUAACUUAAAAUAAUUUAUAAUUUAUAUCAGUUGUGUAUGUUUUUAUCAAAACACUAUAUAAAAAGUUGAUAAUCGACCAUAGCGCGUAGGGAAUGUCUUCGUGUGAUGUGAUGUAGGUCAUCUUGUCACCCCCUCCACACCUGCUUUUCUAAUCCACAGCUGGAGUUGUGUUUGUCUCCCACGAGGCCACGAGACCGACCGUUCUUAGGGCAUGUUUGGUUCAUCUAUUUUAAACUAUAAAAUCGAAAUGAAAUUUAUUGAUUCCGAUAAUUGCUGUUUGUUUUAUAGGAAUCGAAUUACGAUUUUCAUUCCACUCCGGAAUGGAAAUGGCCAAAUCCAUUUAUGAUCCAAUCCAACUUUGAAUUCCGGAUUGACUCAUUCCAAAGUAUACUAUUCAAAAUCCUCUUUCAUUAACACCUACCUCCUCUCCCUUCAUCAAUUUCCUCUCUCUUAAUUAAAACCCUCUCUAAAAAAUUUUAAAUUUUCAUUCCGAUUUCCAUUCCAGUAAUGAACCAAAUAUUUUUGGAUGAUUCGUCAUUUCAUUUUCCAUUCCAAAGCAAUUCAAUUCCAUUUCCGACUUCUAUUCCAAUCAUGAACCAAACAUGCCCUUAGAGUAAGUGGCAAAGAAUUUGAUGGUUGGUAUCUGAGAUCCCAAAUUCGAAACCUAGUUGAUUCACAUUUCCAGCUAAGUUUAUUUCUAAAUGAAAUAAACUAAGCGGGUAGCAUGCUACCUAUCUCUUAAAAAAAUAUAUAUAUAUUAAAAAAAUGUGCUGAUACAAAGAGCGUAUUUAUAAUACUUAAGGACUCAGUCAUAGCACUCGCGGGUUUCGACCUGGCUCAACCCAUCUAGAUAUGGAAUUUAUUGUUGGGCCUUUUGCCGUUAGACCUCUUAUGGACCGCAGCCCCACUUAACUUAUUAGCCUCACUAAACUCAAUUUAUUAGUCUUUUGGGCUUAUUAUCACGCGGCAGAAAGUUAAACCUAUUUUAGCCCAAUAAUAAAUAGUCAACAUUUUUUUGCCACAAAUAUUUCACGUAGAAACAAUAUUAUUCAGUUAUACAUUUUUAUCUUAAAUAAAAGUAUAAGAUGCUUCGCAAUUUUUUUUUUUUUAUUUUUUAUUUUUUAUUUUUUAUUUUUUGCUGUAACAAUUAUUUUAUAUAAGAAUAAUUUUGUCUAAUCAUAUAUUUUUAUUUUACAAAUGAAAAUUUUGUUUCGCAUUAUUUGAGCUUUGAAGUCAUUAUAUUGCCAAUAAUAUAAUAAUCUCUACAAAUCUUAUGUUAAGGGCCCAUUAACCCAUGUUUUUCCCAACACUGCAGAACAAGCCCAGUAGACCACAGCCUCAUCCUCCCACUUUUAGGGGGACAAACCCAUUUACCGUUUUUGUCUUGUUCGUUGACCUUUUGGCUCAGGACUAUCUUAAGUCAACCAACAUAACAUGAUCUACUAUUUUUGUUCAACUCAGAUUAAAGUCCUACGUUACCACACGUCGCAUGCUUUUUAAUUAGCUUAUUGGCAGGUUAAAUGAGAUCUGCGGCACUCCAAUAGUCAAUUAUCGAAUGAUAAUAAGAUUUGAGAGCUGUAAAAAAAAAUUAAUGAUUAGCAUAUUAUCAGAGACAUGUCUUGUUCUAACAUUUCAGGUCUAUAGUUUGAGAUACUAGGUAAUUCGACUAAGUUGAAUUAGAUCCUGACUCCUGAGUAGAGAUAACAAUUGCCAUUUUGCGACUACUUGAUGUCUAGGCAUGAACUUGAACUUUCAUAAUUACAAUUUUUCAUGUUUACAUAUGAUAGAUUUUUAACUCGCUAGGUGGUACAAGUCCAAGAGACUUCCUAAGCCAAACUUCUUUUUUUUUUUUUUUUUUUUCCUUUGUAAGAAAUGCUACAUCUUAUCCAGAUGCUUAAACAAUCUAGUUUGAUGUUUAGCAUUAAAAAGAAAAUACAAAAGUAAUAAGACUGAUGUGAAAAAAAAAAAAAUUUCUUUGAUGGGAAAAAAAUGCAUGAUUUAGCUCUACAUACUACUCACUUCAUUCAUUUGCUUUUAAAACCAAACUUACUUAAAAAUGUAAAAUAAUUAAAUUUUUUGAAAUUUUGGAUAUCAAUCAUUAAGACUUUUGACACUUGAACUAGGAGACAAACUAUUUCCUGUCCCCUUACGGAUCUCCGAAAGGAAACGGAGGAACUGCUUUUUCCACAAGCUGAGUACUAUAAAAUGUCAUUCCUUACAAAACUCUCUCUUCAUCUCACAUUCAAUCAAAUCAACCAAAGUUGAACAUGUCUAAUAUAGCGACAGAAGCACCAGCAAUACCUACGUCGGCAGCCGCUGACGCCGCUGUGUCGAUGGAGGCCGAGGACGGGCGCAAUGUUCAAAGUCGCAAUCUCCAUAUCCACGAUAGCUUCCUGCGGCAUUCUCUGCUCUCCGACCAUCGGACAUGGCGGCGGUAGCAGCGUACCGAGGUCGACGAUGUCGCGUUACAAAUUCUUCGCGGUGUUUUAUGCGGUCGCGGUGCUCGCAGCAUUCACUCUUGGGUUUCUUCUUCUGGUGCUCUCGGUGCCGGUUGGGCCCCAGCAGAGGGCCGCGGCCGCCACCGCCGCAAGGAAGCUGAUCAUGUGGGUUAGUCUAUGGAUGGUUUAUGUUGCUGUGGUCGCUGAAACUUUUGUAGCAUUGGUGGAAAGCUUAGAAACUUGAGAAGUAGCACCCAUGAGGUAUGCUGCAUAUGUAUAGGAGAAGUAUUGGAGGUAUACUUGGGAAUGAGGAGUGCAUGGUAAGCAAGAUGUCAGGACUCAAAAAUUUUCUCCGAGAUUUUUCUUUACAAUCACUCAAACUUCAAAAUGGAUAUCUGUCGGAGGUUCUGCUUGAAUCUUCUAGAAGCUUCUAUGUGGACCUCGAGACUGAUGGCGCAGGAACCGAGAAAUCUCUUAGAGUUUCUAUAUUUCUAAAAGACUUAUUUAUUAGGACUCUUGGGAGCUCGUAACCUCCCAUUUUGGCUUAUAGUUUUGUGCCACUUGGUAUCUUUUUAUUUGUUUUAUAGGCGGCGAGUGGCCUUUAAAUAGUUGUGGCCUCCACCCUCAACUCAGAAUUCUUAUUUGUAUUCUCUCUACUUCAAAAUAAUAAAAGAGCUUUCUUCAUAUCUCUCUUGUACUUACUUUAGGACGAGUGAGGUCCUAACUUAGCAAGCAGAGAAGCAGGCUUGUCCAUUUUCGAGCAGGAAGGCGGGCGCCGCACGGACUUUGCGAACAAAACCGUUAAGUCCGUGACAAAGUGGAUUGGAGAUGUAUCAUAAAAAUGUUAAGUAAGAUGAUUAUAACAUAGAAAAAGGUAAAAUCUUAGUUAGGCCAUUUGACCAGUUCAAAAAUUAUACGUGUUAGACUCUCAUAAUAUAUGCUUUGUAACGUCCAAAUAAUUCCAUAUCGGAUGAAAAAAUAAUUCUGAUUAGAAUAUAUGAGGCAUCGCACGCUAGUUAUAAUAACUGAAUUUAAGUAUUUUGGAUAGAUGGUUGGAUCUAACGCAUUAUUAUUACUAGCAGGUCGGACUAUUAUAAUUAGUACCAAACCGAAUGCGAGUUGCUAAUAAUAAUUGAGCUCAUAUGGUGUUAUUAUUGCUAAGCGGGCAACAAAUUGCAAAAAUAUAUGCUUUACAAGCAGUUUAGUUAUUUCAUAUUUUCAACUAAGUUAUUUUGUGAUAAAAUAAAUAAAUAAAUAAUGAAAAUAUGUGCUUUACAAACAGUCUAGUUAUUUUAUAUUUUCAACUAAAUUAUUUUCUAAUAAAAUAAAUAAAUAAAUAAAUAAAUAAAUAAAGAAAAAGGAUAGCAUGUUAGAUAGCAUGUUACCGUUCUCUCUUUAAAAAAAAAAUUGCAAAUUAUCUAAGACUCAUAUUCCUAAUUUAAUUCUAGACCAAAUAAAGCACUUGGAUUGGACUGGGCUGCGAGAAUGCAUACUGUGCCACCAUAAAUUUUAAAAAUUAAAUNUCUAUAUAUAUAUAUAUAUAUAGGUCCGGCUACUAUACUAUUAUGAGUACGAUCGCUCUCGUACUCAUAAAUCGUUUUCGAUGAUAGAGCUUCCGAAUCAACGAUCCAUACCGUUAAACAUUAUUUACAGCAUUUAAAAUUUCUAGAAAUCAAAUUUUAUAAUUUUUUGAGAUCAUUUACCUUACAAUCAAGAGGUCACAAAUUUGACAAUUUUUAAUGGCCGGUAUGGAAUACUUGCUAGUUUAAUGGUGUAAAAGAAUCGAAAUUUGUUGAAUUUUUAAUAAAAAAUUCUAUUUACUACCUAAAUAAAAAUCAAUAACUCCGAUCUUGAAUCGAAGGAUCCGAUCAUCCAUUCUAAGUCGUUCGAUUUUGACCGUUCAUUUUAUGCCCGCUAGAUGAACUUUAUUAUGAUUUCGAAAAUUUACGAAAUUUAUUUUCUAGAAGUUUCAAAUACUCUAGAUCAUAUUUAAUGGAGUGGAUCGUCGAUUCGGAAGCUCCAUCAUUGAAAAUAACUUAUGAGUACGAGAGUUCCAAUACUCAUAAUAGUAUAGUAGCCAUGGCCUAUAUAAGUAUAUAUAUAAAGAGCAAGGCUACUGUGCUAUUAGGAGCACAGUAGACCUUGUGCUCCUAACUUUCUAACCACCCAUCAAAUUUGAUGGAUGGUUACAAUAAGAUAAGGAAUUAGAGAUAUUGGGAAGAGAUAAAGGUAUACUUGAAAUAACUAGGAACGUAAAAAGGGUAUUUUUAAUAUUAACUUUCUAAGAGGAAUAAAUUAGAAAAUCGAAAACUUUUCAGUAGUAUAAAAGCAAUUGCCCCUAUUUAAUAUAAAAUGAUUUAAAAUUUUAAUUUGAAUCCUUGCUCUUCCGAAAUAAAAUUUUAGUAUCCUCUUUUUAUUAAUCAGCUAAAAGAUGAUAAGAUUAAAAAAAAUUGUUUUAAAAAAAAAGCUAAAUUGAUAAUUUUUAUUUUAAAUAAGAUUAAAGUAUAGAAUUCAGUCACAAAGUUCAUCCAAACAUGCCCUAAUUCAUAGGGCACCGACAUUUCUCAAGUCAUUGUCCAAAUUUCCAUCUGCCGUCGUCUGAAGUGUUGAUUUGUAACAACUUAGAUAAAAUUGCGUAGAACAAACUUAAAACUUUGGAACGACUUGGAAACAAUUAUGUGAAUUGAAAAUUUUCCUUGCAUGAUCUCUUCAUCUGCCCUCUAUUACAUGCAUUUAACAAAUUAUCUUUUCUGAGGAAAAGACUGUAGGUUGUUGGCAUAGCAUAUAAUCCGCUUCGUUUAUUUCAUUUAGAAAUAAAUUUCACUUAUUUGGGUGUCAAAAUAACUUAUUUGGUAUGGAACUUUUUCGGUAUGAUUGUAGUUUAAUUUUUUGUUUCUUAAUUUACAAGUUUUGCUCUCCGUGAUUUAAUAGGAUAGUAUAUUUUAUUUCUGAGUUAAUUUAUCUAUUCUGAAAGAAUAAUUUGAAAACCGAAUAUAAUAUUCUAUUUUAAAUAUUUGAUUAUAUUUUUUAUCUAUCAAAUAAAAUUUUUUUGAAAAAAUUAAGAAAACAAAUGGAAUAAGAUAUUCGUUCACUAAAGAGGGCUUAAAUGCUAUGAAUUUUACAAAUAUCAGUGAGGCAACUAGGUAUUCCAUUCUAAAUAUUUUAUUAUAUUUUAUAUCUAUUAAAUAAAUAAAAUGUUUAAAUAAAUUAAAAAAUAUUAGUUAUAUAUUAUCCAACAAGAAUAUCGUGAGAAAUUAAACACCCAUCAUUCUCUUUCAAUAAGGAUAUUAGAUAUAUAUUGACAUGCCCAUUUAUCGCACAAAGUUUUGUACAGUAAUAUAAUGGAGGGUAGAGCUGAGGGGAGACCAAAGCAAAGUACGUAGUCGUUUAUUUAUACUUUCAAUACACGAAAAAAAAAAAGAAAAGAAAAAAAAAGAGAAAGUAGUACACACCAAAAGUGGCAAAAUAGAGUAGCACAUCAUAUACCUGGGACAAGACAAGUCCCCAAAUAAAAGACACGCACGAAGCCCCUGUACCCAUGCACAGCCANACCGUAAGCGGCUCGCGUGCCGCCACCGGCAGCACAAGAACCAGGGCGACAAUCGACACCGCCGCUUCAGCACUCGGCCGAGGGAGGCGGAGGCGGAGGAGGAGGAGGAGUAUGGCGAGGAAGAGGAGAAUGGCGAGGAAGAGGGCGGCGUAGGCGACGGAGAGUGCGCCGGGAAGGGAAUCUGCUAUUGGGCAGUAGGUGGUGGACCCCACGAUCACCGUCUCCGUUAUCGCCCCCAUCACGACUUUAACGGCGUUGGAGCGGUCGGCGGCGGCUCCCCCUCCUCCUUCCGCUUCUGCAGCAACUUGAUCACCUUCCCCUCCUCCUUCCACUACUACCACAACUUCACCUCCCUCUCCUCCUCCUCCUUGUUCAUCUGCUCCCACAACUCCACCACCAACAAACACUCCUCCACCACCCUGAUCUCCUCCUAUUACAUUCAUUGUCGCUCACCUUGUUAACGAAAUGUGUACGUACCUGAACCAAUAUAAUCUACAUGCCCAACCCUUCUUCGCCAUGUAUACACUGGUAAAGGUUACUGUGAUAGCCCAGCCCAAACGAAUUUAUGAUGGUUGGGUCAGCGGGUGUGCUGUGUCAAAGAGGAGUGAUCAAAAGUUAGUGUGAAUGGCCGCACGGAGGGAUUUGGUCAGUUGAUAUAAUAAAUACACUCGUAAAAGUUACUGUCAAUUGCACUACGGAGCGAUAUUAUGCAUGGUAACUGGAUUUUUGUUUUCCCGCGACCAAAAGCGGAACAGGAUUUUGGGGGCUAUUUUGUUUUCACAAUAAUUUUAUACAAAUUUAUAAUCUGUUAAGAUAAUUUUUUGGAAAAAUUUCAAAUACCAUCCUGUGAUUUUACACUUUCUCACUUUAGUACCAUAUGGUUUAAAGUGUAUCAAUUUAAUGUCCUGUGGUUUUAUUUUUCUUUUUUUACUAUCAAUUCCUUUUUCACAAAGUUAAAAUUAAAAGGUACUAGAAUGAAUAUUCGAUAAACCUAGGUCGGUAUCUGAAGUUUUUUUUUUGUAUAUAAUUUAACGAAAAUCUGAUGAAAAGAGAAAAAUGAAACCACAACGCACUAAAUUGAUACACUUUAAACCACAAAAUACUAAAAUGAGAAAGUGCGAAACCACAGGAGUAGUAUUUGAAGUUUAUCCUAAUUUUUUUUAAAUUUUACUUGAUCAACUAAAUAAUCUUUUGCCAAUUCAGUAUCAUAUUAGUGGGGAAAAAAAGAAGUACAGAGAAUUAUCUAUCAUUUUUUGUUAAAAUUUUUAUAUGAUUUUUAGAAUUAUAUAUAAUCUCUUUUUUACAGAAAAAAAAAAAGAAAAAGAAAGGCACGUCAUCUAAAUUAUUAAAGACAGCAAUUGAUUCAUUAUCUUCUAAUUAUUUUGUAAGCUUAUAUUAUUUCUCAACCUUACCCAACUUCACAAGUUUACGAGCUUAAAAUUCCCGGGGGUUUGGGGUCAUGGAGCAGGGGGUCUUUUUCCCAAUAAUUUUGUAAAAAAAUUUCAAUUUGACCAACAGUUACUAACGCAAGGGACAAAAAAUUUGGUGGUUGGUAUCUAAGAUUCUGAAUUUGAAUCCUUGGGUAGCAUGCUUCCUAUCUCUCUCAAAAAAAAAAAAAUCUAAUUUGUCAAAUAAUUUUUUAAAAAUUUUAUCUAAUCAACUAAUUAAUUAUCAUUUUGCCUAGUCAUUUGCCAUUUUUAGAUUGUUAUUAGUUCUUUUAUAAAUGUUAGAGUUGCAUGGAUAGAUUACCGGUACUUUUUAUGUUGCUAGGAUUAUAUAUGUAAUGUUUGUUAACGGAAAGACGAUAAAUAAUAAUUUAUUGUCUUCUAAAUUUUUAUUAAAGAGACAAUUGUUUAUAUAUUCCUGAAACGUUUUAGCUUUCUGAUUUAUCCAUCUUAAAAUGUUAAUAUUAAAAAUACACUUUUAAUGUUCUAAGUUAUUUCAAAUAUAUCCCUAAAGUUAAAUUCUGUUAGUGAACGACUAGCAACAACUGUUAUUUUUGUAAAAUUACUAUUUUAUCCUUUCGAAUAUAUCCUUUUAUUAUCACCAUUUUUUUUAUUUGUCCUUUAAGUAGUUAGGGACAGAAAAAAUAUUUUGAUUUUCGGUCUUUUCAAAUAUAUUUUUGUACCACCACCGAUUUUUCUUAUUUAUCUUUAAGUUAAGGAUAAAAAAAGUAAUUUGUUUUUUUUUAUUUUAACUCUGUAGAUAUUUAAUUCAUGUUUAAUCCGAGAUAACUCAACGAAUAGUAAUUGCGGAAGUAUUUCUGAAUAAUGGAGAAAUAUACGAGAGGCAUAUUUGAAAUAAAAAAAAAGUAAUGGUAAAUUAGAUAUUUUUAAAAUUUUGAAGGAUAUAAAGACAAUUAUUUUUUUUAUUAAAACUAAUAAAAAUUAGAUGAGAUAAAAUUAUUUGACCAAAUAAAAGUUUUAAAAUUUUAUUUAGUAAAUUAUAAACUUUUAAAGUGUUAAAUUGAAAAUUUUAAAACAAAAAAGUCCAGCUGUCGCUUUGGAGACCCACGCGUGCGCUGGAUUGUGGGAAAUUCCUUGGUAGAUAGGGGAGGGAGGGGCGGCGCAACGGGUCGGGUGGGCCGGGGCAUCGUUUUUGCGAGAAAAAUUCUACCCCCACAUCUCAUCUCAUUUUGGAAUGAUCGAUGAUGCACUUUUCAUGAUACUUUGAAAAGGUUUGUGGUGAUCGUUUUCACAAUAAAAUUUUGUGAAAAACUUCUAAUUUAUCAAAGCAAUUUUUUAAAAAAUUUUAUUUGAUCAACUGAUUAUCUUUUUGUUGAUCUAUUCACUAUUCUUAGAUUAUUGUUAAUUGCUUUUAUAGAUUGUACCGAUCCUCUCUAGAGCAAGUGGCAAAGGGCUUGGUGGUUGGUACCCGAGAUCCAAGUUUGAAUCCUAGUUGAUUCACAUUUCCAACUAAAUUUAUUUCUAAAUGAAAUAAACGAAACGGGUAGCGUGCUACCUAUCUCUCUCUCAAAAAAAAAAUUGCAUUUAUAGAUUGUAAAAAUUUUUGUAUGAGUUUUAAAAUUGUAUGCGAAUUAUUAGAAUUUUUAUUUAAUUGUUGGGAUUAUAUGGAUAAGUUGUGAGUUUUAAGUUGUUAGAAUUAUACAUAGUCAUUUUUGUUAAGAGAAAGAUGGUGAAUGAUUUACUGUCUUCUAAAUUUUAUUAAAAAUAAUAAAUGAUUCACAAUCUUUUAAUUAUUCUUUCAUCUCACUACUAGGACGAAAUAGAGUUAUCUGACUAAAUAAAAUAUUUAAACAAUUAUUCAACAAAUUAUAAAAUUAUAAAAUAUUAAAUUGAAAAAAAUGUCCUGCUUUUGCUUUGAGAACAUGGUGAGUUAUUUUGGAAGUGAGACGGCAUGACCCAAUUGUUACGGUCCAGACUAUUCUAUUCACUUAUUAACGGUUUAGAGUUAGGAGACCGCUUAAUUUUUUUCACUUAAAUUUUAUAUUUAGUUUAGUUAAAAAUUUUAUAAAGUUCAAUAAAUUUAUUAGUCUUUUCAAAUUUAACAAUCAAAUCAAAUCAAAUUUAAUAUUAAAUUCAAUACUAAAAAUUUUAAAAAAUUAUUUUAACUUUUAAAUAGAUUGGAUAUAAAAUUUAGAUCAGUGAUUUUAUUACCAACCUGCUUAUUUUGGUCCUUUGGCCUUGUUAGAAUUUGGGAAGGAGGUGCAUGGAAUAUACCCAUGUAACCCAUCCAUCGUAGAAAAAAUUCUAGAAUGCAACAGAUAUAUUGAUGACGUGACGUAACAAACCAAUCAAUUAUCUCCUUUUAGGGAUAUAUGUCCCAUCAUAAUUGUAAAAUAAUAUUUAUAUUGUAUUUUUGGUUGAAAAGAAAGAAUAUGAUUGACUUGUUAUUGAUGACGUGGUGCAAGUGUGAUAGUGUAGAAUUCCUCCCAUCCUAGAGUGAGAUGAUAGUAUUUACUUGUCACAUCAUUUUCAUUGUUUUAAUGAGUUGAAAUAAUGAGACAAAUAAAAAACUAUCAUCUCAUUCGAUGUGACAAGUAAAACUAAUCAUCCCACCCUAAUUACACCCUAAUCACAUUUGGUAAGGCUUAAUUACAGCCAAGUCCCCUACCCAAAAAACAAAAGAAAAAAAAACGCAAUUUAAUGGACAGCAAAGAUUAAAGCAGAGAUUGAGAUGCAGGGUUGAAAGGGAACGGGGCACCAACCUAGUGCACCUCACAUAGGCAAUAAAUGAUUUCAAAAUUUUGCUAUUAUUUAAUUAUACAUAACAAUUUUCUAAAUGUCUUUUUACCAAAUUAUAGUUUCAUUAAUAUUUGCUUAGUAUCGCCGGUGUCUUUAUAAAUAUCAAAAAUAUUUUCAAACAUUCUUAAUAAUAGAACUUUAUUUAAAUCGAAUGAACUAUUUCUAAAUUUUAUUUUUCACCUUCCGAUGAGCCAAAAACUUGUAAACUUACUUGUAGAUGAGUAAUUUCCACAAAUUUAGUAUGCUCUUCUAAACAAUUAAUGAAAUAAAAAUAAAUGGUCAUAAACUUAAGGGAAAACUUUAAAAAAACCCCUAUGGUUUUGCCCUUUCUCACUUGAGUGCUAUGUGAUUUAAAGUGUAUCAAUUUGAUGCCAUGUGAUUUCAUUUUUAUCUUUUCUAUAACUUUUUCGUUAAUAUUUUGUUAAAUUAUAUAUAAAAAAACUUCAGAUAACCACCUAAAUUUAUCAAAUAUUCAUUUUAGUAUCAUUUAAUUUUAACUUUGUCACUGAUUUAAGGUAAAAAAAAUGGUGAAAUUAAUAAUAAAAAGAUUAAAAUGAAAUCACAGGGCACCAAACUGAUACACUUUAAACCACUAGGCACUCAAGUGAGAAAGUGCGAAACCACAGGGAGAGUUUUUAAAGUUUUUCCUAAACUUAAUAAGGAAUAAAAAAAAAUUAUGCUAUAAGUUAUAAAAUAAAAGAAUAAAUCCUAAUUGUAUUAAUAUUUUGCCUUUAAGAAAUAGUUAAGAGCAAAUUGGAUUCGAGCAUUACAGAUUAUUUCGAUAUAACUAGAUAUCUGAAAAUUUUAAAUCAGAUAUUGUAUUACCAUAUUUGGUUGAAUACAGUAAUAUAAUGCUGAAUUUCAAUAUUGAAUUACUAUAUUUGACUCAGUUUAUAAAAUUUAUUAUUAGCUUAUUGCAAAAUUCCUCUUGUGCCAUAUUUAAUAUUUUUUUACUAAACAAUAAUUUAAUAUAAUUUAGAAUUAAUUCUAUUAAUAAACAAUAUAAAUAAAAAGACCAUAUAUAAAAAAAAAUUAUAAAGCCAAAAACUAAUCUCAAUCCAUAAGAACAAAAUAUAAAAGAUCAUAUUACAUACUCAUACGAUCAAAAAAUAAAUAAAAUUUAAUUUAGAAACUUAUUUAUAAGAAUUCGUACGAAUAUAAAUGGAGGAAGAGAGGGAGAGAAAGAGAGCGAAAGAGAUAAGAAAGAGAUAAAAAUAACAUAUUGAAAAAGGUUUUCUUUUAGAGGGGUAAAAUUAUAAUUUUAAGUAAUAUGCAAGAUUAUCCGCCCUUAGUAAUAUAAAAUAUCUACCCACCCACUCCGUAAUAUUUUCGAAAAAAUUUUACAUCAUUUGUAAUGUUACAUUACUAACCGUAUUACAGAUGAUAAACCAUCAGCAUUGCCUGUGAUCAUGGCAAAAUAAUUCGAACCAAAUACAUCCUAAAAGUAAAAUUUUUAUUUCACCCUGAAAGUAAAAUUAUUAUUUCGUUGAUUUAACUAGUUUAAUCUUUAUUUAACUAAAUAAGAGGCAUUUUGGACAAUCCAUGUAAAUAACUCUUAUUUGGAAUAUAUUGUACAUAUAGGUUGUGAUGCCUUAAACGGAUAAAAAAUAUUUUUGUUCAUUCAGUGGGUCUGAUCACUUGCCCAAUGAGUGUUUCCCUUGCAGGCUUAAAACAUGAUUACAAAAGAAAUUUAUUUUAGUUACCUAUAUUCACUGCUUCCUCUCAAAGGGAAGCCAAUUUUGACCGCAAGCCAUAUAUGCGGAAUUAGGAAACAAAGGCGAGGAAGUUAGGUUCAAUUAAGAGCCUGCAAAAUUCGAACUCAAACGAAUCUUAUCUAAGCGAUGAUGAAUGGAAUAAUUUAAACCACCCUGACUCAGUUGAGAUUCGCAAUCCGUCAAUAUAGCCAUGAGUUAGUAGCUUAGCAUGAUUCUUCUUAUACAGCUAGUAUUCUGCAGCUACAGCAAAAGGCAAGGAACGUUUAAUAAAAGGUCGUUAGCUCACUUGUACAUAAGUCUAUUCAAACUGCAGUCCUGCAGAAGCUCAAAUCGGCCAAAUAAGCCCCUUCAUAAACAUCAAGCAAAUAAAUCUCCGUAUAUAACACCCAUCCAACAGUUCUCACAUUAAUCACACAACAAAAGACCAUGGAUAAAUUGUUGGCGCUCCUUAAAACUCGGGCACUCGAAAUCAUUAAAACAUCUUUAUUUUUAUACUAUACAUACGUUAAACCACAUAUAUAGUAAUUAAAUUUCAAGCCCUUUCACAAUUAACUUCUUUUCUACUCUUCCUUGCGAACUUCGAUUUGUAUAUUUUUUAUCUUAAUAUCUAAUCAUGUACAAUUAAAUUCAUAAUCAUUCACCUCCGAACUAAUGGUAUAAGAUUCAAAUCCUUACAGAGUUUCAUCUUGUUGUGUGUAGUAAUUAGGGUGCGUUUGGUUCGCGCUAUCUUUUAAAGAUUUCUAUUAAUUCAAUGGGAAUAAAAAAAUAUGACGGUGUUUGACUAAACGCACUAAAUAAUCUAGUUGGUAAUAUUGGAUUCACUUGGGAAUAAGAUUCACCAAAGUACUAAUCUCAUUUCCUUAAGGGAGGGUGGGUAUCCUCAUAUUAAUGGAUUGGAAUAAUCAUAAUAUGUCAAAUCUCUUUCUUUCUUCCUACCCGCCGGCUAAUUGAUAUUAUUUUUCUUUACACUCUAACCUUAUAUUUCUCUCUAAACUUAUUUUUCUUUCUAAAAUUCAACUUUUUUUUCUCUCUCUUUCUAAAAUUUCAACUCUCUCACUCCCUCUAAUUUCGACUAUAUUUUUCUUUCUAUUUUUUUAAUUAUGUUCUCUCUCUCUAACUUAUACUCUCUCUCCCUUUUUUCUAAAAAGAUGUUGAAACUUUUGGUAACAUUAUCUAAAAUUAAUUAAAUAAAUAAAUUAAUUAAUUGUAUAUUUUUUGUAAUAUUAAAUAACAUGGCUAAUUAAUAUUACCGUGCCAACCAAACACAGGAAUUCUAUAUUUUUAAUAAUAGGAUGAAUAGGAAUAAGAUUUUCGGAUAUCUUUUAUUUCUAAUAAUUUUUCAUAAUGCGAACCAAACGCACCCUUAGUGUAAUACGGUAUACGGCCGGUGCAUCCCAACACUACACCGAGAAGCAUAUACAAAGAUACGUAAGUGUGAGAACUUUUUUAACAGCAAAUUUACAGUAUCGUUUGAUAUUUUGUUGUUUACAGAUACCCAAAAAAAAAAAGGUCCAAAUUCCAAACAAUAUGAUAUAAAUAAUUUUUUUCUUCUACAAACAAUAGAAAAAUCCCAACACUACAAAAUUUCAGAGCAUCCAAACAGGCCCUUUUAAUACACAGGGCACAGACAAUUCUCAAGUCAUUAUCCAAAUUCCCAAAUGCCUUCACCUGAUGGGUUGAUUUGUAACAACUUGUAUAAAAUUGCGUAGAACUAACCUAAACUUUGAACGGUUUGGAAAUAACUAUCUGAAUUGAAAAUUUUCCAUGCAUGAUCUGCUCAUCUGCCCUCCAUUGCAUUUAGCAAAUAAUCAUUUUUGAGAAAAUGAGAGUGGGUUGUUCGCUUCGUUAAUUGAGGUCUUGUUUGGAUGUCUAAAUAACUUAUUUGGUACGAGAGUUUUUUAGUAUGAUCGUAAUUAAAAAGUUUGAUUUUUGUUUCUGCAAAAAUUUU